RNAcentral lists this ribosomal RNA (583 nucleotides) under uncultured beta proteobacterium. Its description in RNAcentral is "bacterial SSU rRNA". It matches the Rfam family "Bacterial small subunit ribosomal RNA", at positions 75 to 656 of the family's 1533-position model. Lineage: Bacteria; Pseudomonadati; Pseudomonadota; Betaproteobacteria. The record is from RNAcentral.
GGGGGCAACCCCUUGAGAGUGGCGAACGGGUGAGUAAUAUAUCGGAACGUGCCCAGUCGUGGGGGAUAACGUAGCGAAAGUUACGCUAAUACCGCAUACGAUCUAAGGAUGAAAGCGGGGGAUCGCAAGACCUCGCGCGACUGGAGCGGCCGAUAUCAGAUUAGAUAGUUGGUGAGGUAAAGGCUCACCAAGCCAACGAUCUGUAGCUGGUCUGAGAGGACGACCAGCCACACUGGAACUGAGACACGGUCCAGACUCCUACGGGAGGCAGCAGUGGGGAAUUUUGGACAAUGGACGAAAGUCUGAUCCAGCCAUUCCGCGUGCAGGAUGAAGGCCCUCGGGUUGUAAACUGCUUUUGUACAGAACGAAAAGGUCUCCAUUAAUACUGGGGGCUCAUGACGGUACUGUAAGAAUAAGCACCGGCUAACUACGUGCCAGCAGCCGCGGUAAUACGUAGGGUGCAAGCGUUAAUCGGAAUUACUGGGCGUAAAGCGUGCGCAGGCGGUUAUAUAAGACAGAUGUGAAAUCCCCGGGCUCAACCUGGGAACUGCAUUUGUGACUGUAUAGCUAGAAUACGGUAGAG